AUACGUUUUAGGUAUCAAUUGUGAUCAAAAACAGAGAUCAAUAAGAAAAGCUUAGUUAUAUUGAUUUGAACUUAGGAAUUACAGAGGAAACGAUUACAGAUCAAGAGAUAUCUCACAUUCUCUCAUCUCUGAAAUCACUCAAACUCUCGAUAAACCUCUCCCUCCACACUCUCACGUUAUUAUAAAGCAAAACCAUUAACUAAACCAUAAUUACUUUAUGCUAACUAUGGUUACUUGCUCUUAUCUAGCCAAGAGUCAAUGACCAUUUACCCCCUUUGGAUAUACUGCUCUUAUCAAUACUUCCCCCUUUGAAUUCAACCUUGUCCUCAAGGUUGAAGCAAGGAACAAGCUUCCAAUCCCCUAGCUCCCACACACACUCAUAUCUUUGCAGCCUAUCACAGUUGAUGCGAUCUUCCUCCCCGUAGGUUAGAUUCUUCAAAUGACUGAUCUCAAUCACAAUCUUCUGUCCAAUAAUGUUCAGCUCCUUGGCAUCUUGCUUCUCUUCUGCUCCAUACCCAGACAUCUUCAACACCUCAGUACUCUCUUCUUGAAAGCAAGUCCACAAGUAAAAACCCAAGAGUUUUACUGCCUUAUGACCCUGUUUCAGUUUCUUGAGUUGUGUACAGCCCUCCUUCCUUUUCCACUUCCUGUAAUUUGUGAUCAGCCUGCUUAUCUUUCUUAUCCCAUACCAGAAAAUUUCUCGCAGCCAUUGGUGCCCAUAUGCCUUAAGCUCACUCACGUCCUUGUUCUUCUCGCACGUUAUCCACUGCACUGGUCCAAUCGUUUGCUGCUGGCCAUCAGAACCCGCCACACAUCUAGUCGUCAAGGGCUGCUUAAAAGAAAGCAUUGGGGAUCGCAGAACCCUUUUCAAGUCCAUUAGGGUAUUUCCGGGAGUAAUAUCAAGUGCUUCCCGUACAUACGUAAUGCGGUUGAACUCAAAUGGCUUCUUAGGCCAUUCACCAAUAACUCUCUCGAGUUCAGGAUCCGCAUCAGUAGGUGGAAGUAGCCGUUCUUCCUUGUGCUUGGCUGCAGCUGUGCUGUCACUUAAAGUCCAGCGACCUUCCCUGUUAGUUGUUCCAAGCACAGCCAUUAGAGGCCUUCUCUUCCCACAGAUUGAUUGCAACAUCUCUUGGCUCCCAACAUACACAAAGAUUGAACCUUGCUUUUGAUACUCUGCUCGUCUUUUUCUUGCUGUCAACUUCUUAUGAUCACCCUUAAGAAUCACUCUUAUGGUAAUCUCUGCGAUCUCUGGAUAAGUAGUCUCCAUGAUGACAGUGCAGUUCUCACCAGGGCCUUGAUUAUGAAUGCUGGUAAUGGGAUUCUCCUCACCCAUUUUAAUGCACACCCAAUACAACUUCAUCUCAGCAACUCCUCGCAGCAGAGCAUUGAAGUCAAGUUCCAGAUCAGUCUGACCAUUAACCAUACUAGAAACUGCACAUCCUCCUAUUCCAAUACGAUAAGCAAGUAUUCCAACUUCUGGCUUCCUAUCUUUCAUCCCAAUUCCCCACCAAGACAACCCUUCAAGAACCAUGGAACCCCCCUUCACUCGUCUACACCCUUUUUUCCACAGGUUAAAACUUCUGUAAUUACUCUUUGUAGAGAGCAGGAAGCUGAGUUGAACUUCUCUCCAUAGUUUGUACGUACAACACUUCCAGAGAUACCUUUCAUAAUCCUUGAGCUUAAUGCUGGAGCUUAAUGAGAAAACACCAAGAUUCCAAGACCAUCUGUUACUGAUCUUGUGCUUGUCCCUGUACCUGUAUCUAGCCUUUUGUUUCCUAGUCUUGAACCUUGUCCACACUGUUGUGAUCAGCAAGAGAGGCUCACCACAGCCCACACGCCUGUAUUUCAACUUGGCUCUCCUUCUCCUAUAGGCAACUCGCAGCAGCUCACACCCCAUCUUUAGCUUUAGCCAUUUUCUGCUCUUCAAGGAGACUCUCCCAAAAUGAUUUCUGUCACACUCUAUGCUCAAGUUCUUUCUCAAAGAAUCCCACACAAGUUCAGUAGUUCCAAGGAGAGAAAUCUGAUUACCAAACAACCUUACCCUAUUAGUUCCCUUCAACUUGUUGAAUAAUUGUUUGAACUUCCAUUUCUUCCAUUUUGCAAGCGCCCUCAACACUCUUCUACAUCUAUGCAGCAGCCCUUCAAGCUUCUCUACAAGCUUUAUUCUCUUCAUCUGUUGCUUGCAACACUUCAUUAGCCUUCCAAAUGUGUUUCGUUUGGUUUGACGAUGCAUAUUUUUCACCGCUCCAGACUUGUAUUUGAACCUUUUCUUCUUCUUCCAUUUUUCUGUAACUUUCAAUAGCAGGAGCUUUUUGCCAUCGACUUGACCACCAUGCUUCGUCAUCUCAGCAUGUGUCAAUUUGUUCCCUUUUCCCUCAGUAAAUUUCAUCACAUAGCACUUCACCCCACUUGACAGCAACCGUAUUGACUUUGUACGAGGUCUACACUUCUUCCUUUUAAUCUCUUUCCAUCUUUUUCUCUUCCUUGUUACUCUUAUACUCCCCUCAGCCAUUUGAUCGAACACCUGGUGGGCACACUUCUUCCUCUUGGUUACAAGCAGCACCUCUCUCGCAUAUUUACCUCUCUCAAAGUACGGCUCGACUUUGUGAUCCCAACAGAUUAAGGUUUCACCAUCUUGCGUCCCUUGCGAAGCCAUUUGAUGAUCAUUCAGAAGUUCAUUCCUCCUCUCAAGCGUCAGCUUAAUCGGUUCCACAGGCGGACAGAAACUCUUCAAGGAUCCUUCCACAUGAUCAAGAUCCGAGUCUUCUGCAGCCAACGUCUCUUCCUCCAGUGAUUUCUUGGCAGCAUCUUCUUCAUCCUCACGUUCAAUCAUGCGACGGCACGCUUCCAGCAUCUCCAGCCGGGCUUUCCUUUCCUCCUCAAACGUCCUCACCGGCCUGUCAUAGUUCGUCGAGGCUCGGAUCUCUUCUAUCUCCUCCAUCGAGGUACCACCCGCCAAAGCAAUUUCGACCCAGCGCUCGGUCCAGUACUUCUCCAUCCGCUCCAGGUAUGAGGAUCUGCUACACCGCUCUUGGACAACCACGGCCGGCUUCGGGAACCUCAUGUCCCUUUCCGGUUGUUGCUCCACAACCAACGGUCUCAUCCUCCUCACGCCCUGUUGCAUCUGGUUCCACACUUGAUCAAUUUCCGCUUCCGUCGACAUGGGUCACCGGAAUCAAACGGCUCUGAUACCAAUUUGAUACGUUUUAGGUAUCAAUUGUGAUCAAAAACAGAGAUCAAUAAGAAAAGCUUAGUUAUAUUGAUUUGAACUUAGGAAUUACAGAGGAAACGAUUACAGAUCAAGAGAUAUCUCACAUUCUCUCAUCUCUGAAAUCACUCAAACUCUCGAUAAACCUCUCCCUCCACACUCUCACGUUAUUAUAAAGCAAAACCAUUAACUAAACCAUAAUUACUUUAUGCUAACUAUGGUUACUUGCUCUUAUCUAGCCAAGAGUCAAUGACCAUUUACCCCCUUUGGAUAUACUGCUCUUAUCAAUCUCUUGUCUUAGUAUUUCUAUCUUUCUCUUGUAAAUUGGGUUCAGAGGUCUUGCAUUGAUUAGGAUUAAGUUUGCUAUGUCACGUAACAUAAUUUUUGCACAACCUUGUAUAC
Molecule: long non-coding RNA, 3610 nt
Filed under: Brassica napus (rape)
Lineage: Eukaryota; Viridiplantae; Streptophyta; Magnoliopsida; Brassicales; Brassicaceae
Description: long non-coding RNA (BNAP_LNC005159)
Source: RNAcentral